GACGAACGCUGGCGGCGUGCUUAACACAUGCAAGUCGAACGGAAAGGCCCUGCUUUUGUGGGGUGCUCGAGUGGCGAACGGGUGAGUAACCCGUGAGUAACCUGCCCUUGACUUUGGGAUAACUUCAGGAAACUGGGGCUAAUACCGGAUAGGAGCUCCUGCUGCAUGGUGGGGGUUGGAAAGUUUCGGCGGUUGGGGAUGGACUCGCGGCUUAUCAGCUUGUUGGUGGGGUAGUGGCUUACCAAGGCUUUGACGGGUAGCCGGCCUGAGAGGGUGACCGGCCACAUUGGGACUGCGAUACGGCCCAGACUCCUACGGGAGGCAGCAGUGGGGAAUAUUGCACAAUGGGCGGAAGCCUGAUGCAGCAACGCCGCGUGCGGGAUGACGGCCUUCGGGUUGUAAACCGCUUUCGCCUGUGACGAAGCGUGAGUGACGGUAAUGGGUAAAGAAGCACCGGCUAACUACGUG
This 468-nucleotide ribosomal RNA is filed under the name uncultured bacterium. RNAcentral describes it as "partial 16S ribosomal RNA". It matches the Rfam family "Bacterial small subunit ribosomal RNA", at positions 28 to 507 of the family's 1533-position model. The record is from RNAcentral.